UACAGAGGGUGCGAGCGUUAAUCGGAAUUACUGGGCGUAAAGCGUGCGCAGGCGGUUGAUUAAGACAGGCGUGAAAUCCCCGGGCUUAACCUGGGAACUGCGCUUGUGACUGGUCAGCUAGAGUACGGCAGAGGGGGGUGGAAUUCCACGUGUAGCAGUGAAAUGCGUAGAGAUGUGGAGGAACACCGAUGGCGAAGGCAGCCCCCUGGGCCGAUACUGACGCUCAUGCACGAAAGCGUGGGUAGCAAACAGG
This 253-nucleotide ribosomal RNA is filed under the name uncultured bacterium. RNAcentral's name for it is "partial 16S ribosomal RNA". It matches the Rfam family "Bacterial small subunit ribosomal RNA", at positions 524 to 776 of the family's 1533-position model. The record is from RNAcentral.